GUAAAACCGGCGCACGGGUGCGUAACGCGUAUACAAUCUGCCUUUUAUCCGGGGGAUAGCCCGAAGAAAUUUGGAUUAAUACCCUAUGGUAUAAGAGCACGGCAUCGUGCACUUAUUAAAGCUACGGCGGUAAAAGAUGAGUAUGCGUUCUAUUAGCUAGUUGGAGAGGUAACGGCUCCCCAAGGCGACGAUAGAUAGGGGUUCUGAGAGGGAUGUCCCCCACACUGGUACUGAGAUACGGACCAG
This 246-nucleotide ribosomal RNA is filed under the name uncultured Flavobacteriales bacterium. Its description in RNAcentral is "partial 16S ribosomal RNA". It matches the Rfam family "Bacterial small subunit ribosomal RNA", at positions 89 to 334 of the family's 1533-position model. The record is from RNAcentral. Lineage: Bacteria; Pseudomonadati; Bacteroidota; Flavobacteriia; Flavobacteriales.